RNAcentral lists this ribosomal RNA (194 nucleotides) under uncultured Aquabacterium sp. RNAcentral describes it as "partial 16S ribosomal RNA". It matches the Rfam family "Bacterial small subunit ribosomal RNA", at positions 338 to 524 of the family's 1533-position model. The record is from RNAcentral. Lineage: Bacteria; Pseudomonadati; Pseudomonadota; Betaproteobacteria; Burkholderiales; Sphaerotilaceae.
CCUACGGGAGGCAGCAGUGGGGAAUUUUGGACAAUGGGGGCAACCCUGAUCCAGCCAUGCCGCGUGCGGGAAGAAGGCCUUCGGGUUGUAAACCGCUUUUGUUCGGGAAGAAAUCCCCUGGGUUAAUACCUCGGGGGGAUGACGGUACCGGAAGAAUAAGCACCGGCUAACUACGCGCCAGCAGCCGCGGUAAU